This 449-nucleotide ribosomal RNA is filed under the name Chromobacterium haemolyticum. RNAcentral describes it as "bacterial SSU rRNA". It matches the Rfam family "Bacterial small subunit ribosomal RNA", at positions 167 to 610 of the family's 1533-position model. The record is from RNAcentral. Lineage: Bacteria; Pseudomonadati; Pseudomonadota; Betaproteobacteria; Neisseriales; Chromobacteriaceae.
UACCGCAUACGCCCUNGAGGGGGAAAGUGGGGGACCGUAAGGCCUCACGUUAUACGAGCAGCCGAUGUCUGAUUAGCUAGUUGGUGGGGUAAAGGCUCACCAAGGCAACGAUCAGUAGCGGGUCUGAGAGGAUGAUCCGCCACACUGGGACUGAGACACGGCCCAGACUCCUACGGGAGGCAGCAGUGGGGAAUUUUGGACAAUGGGCGCAAGCCUGAUCCAGCCAUGCCGCGUGUCUGAAGAAGGCCUUCGGGUUGUAAAGGACUUUUGUCCGGGAGCAAAUCCCAGUGGUUAAUACCUACUGGGGCUGAGAGUACCGGAANAAUAAGCACCGGCUAACUACGUGCCAGCAGCCGCGGUAAUACGUAGGGUGCAAGCGUUAAUCGGAAUUACUGGGCGUAAAGCGUGCGCAGGCGGUUGUGCAAGUCUGAUGUGAAAGCCCCGGGCUU